CGGACGGGUGAGUAAUGUCUGGGAACUGCCCGAUGGGAGGGGAUAACUACUGGAAACGGUAGCUAAUACCGCAUAACGUCGCAAGACCAAAGAGGGGACCUUCGGGCCUCUUGCCAUCGGAUGUGCCCAGAUGGGAUUAGCUAGUAGGUGGGGUAACGGCUCACCUAGGCGACGAUCCCUAGCUGGUCUGAGAGGAUGACCAGCCACACUGGAACUGAGACACGGUCCAG
Molecule: ribosomal RNA, 230 nt
Filed under: uncultured bacterium
Lineage: Bacteria
Description: partial 16S ribosomal RNA
Rfam family: Bacterial small subunit ribosomal RNA
Source: RNAcentral